UUAGUGUGUGUGUGGAGUUGGAACGUUUGCUUACGUUUGCCGCUAGGGGCGCUGUUCCAACUGAAUACAAAUUUGUGUUA
Molecule: microRNA precursor, 80 nt
Filed under: Bombyx mori (domestic silkworm)
Lineage: Eukaryota; Metazoa; Arthropoda; Insecta; Lepidoptera; Bombycidae
Description: mir-2807 microRNA precursor family
Rfam family: mir-2807 microRNA precursor family
Source: Rfam by way of RNAcentral